AUGUUUUACAGAAGAAAUGCCAUGUUAUAAAAGUGGGUUUCUUAGAGAGAGGCUUAUCCAUUGCAUUUUGGUUAUGUUAUUGAUCCCUAUGAUUUCUCCAAAUGUGGGAAACUCAAUUGCAUAAUUUAUGUUAAUGGGUAAUUAUACUUUAGAUUACCCU
This 160-nucleotide small nuclear RNA is filed under the name Pogona vitticeps (central bearded dragon). RNAcentral's name for it is "U1 spliceosomal RNA (ENSPVIG00000000371.1)". It matches the Rfam family "U1 spliceosomal RNA". From Rfam's summary of the family: U1 is a small nuclear RNA (snRNA) component of the spliceosome (involved in pre-mRNA splicing). Its 5' end forms complementary base pairs with the 5' splice junction, thus defining the 5' donor site of an intron. There are significant differences in sequence and secondary structure between metazoan and yeast U1 snRNAs, the latter being much longer (568 nucleotides as compared to 164 nucleotides in human). Lineage: Eukaryota; Metazoa; Chordata; Lepidosauria; Squamata; Agamidae. The record is from RNAcentral.